This 434-nucleotide ribosomal RNA is filed under the name uncultured bacterium. RNAcentral's name for it is "partial 16S ribosomal RNA". It matches the Rfam family "Bacterial small subunit ribosomal RNA", at positions 29 to 507 of the family's 1533-position model. The record is from RNAcentral.
AGCGAACGCUGGCGGCAGGCCUAACACAUGCAAGUCGAACGAACCCUUCGGGGUUAGUGGCGGACGGGUGAGUAACACGUGGGAACGUGCCCUUAGGUUCGGAAUAACUCAGGGAAACGUGUGCUAAUACCGAAUGAGCUCUUCGGGGGAAAGAUUUAUCGCCUUUAGAGCGGCCCGCGUCUGAUUAGCUAGUUGGUUGAGGUAAUGGCUCACCAAGGCGACGAUCAGUAGCUGGUCUGAGAGGAUGAUCAGCCACAUUGGGACUGAGACACGGCCCAAACUCCUACGGGAGGCAGCAGUGGGGAAUCUUGCGCAAUGGGCGAAAGCCUGACGCAGCCAUGCCGCGUGAGUGAUGAAGGUCUUAGGAUUGUAAAAUUCUUUCACCGGGGACGAUAAUGACGGUACCCGGAGAAGAAGCCCCGGCUAACUUCGUG